RNAcentral lists this transfer RNA (73 nucleotides) under Candidatus Polarisedimenticola svalbardensis. RNAcentral describes it as "tRNA-Pro". It matches the Rfam family "tRNA". Rfam says of the family: Transfer RNA (tRNA) molecules are approximately 80 nucleotides in length. Their secondary structure includes four short double-helical elements and three loops (D, anti-codon, and T loops). Further hydrogen bonds mediate the characteristic L-shaped molecular structure. tRNAs have two regions of fundamental functional importance: the anti-codon, which is responsible for specific mRNA codon recognition, and the 3' end, to which the tRNAs corresponding amino acid is attached (by aminoacyl-tRNA synthetases). tRNAs cope with the degeneracy of the genetic code in two manners: having more than one tRNA (with a specific anti-codon) for a particular amino acid; and 'wobble' base-pairing, i.e. permitting non-standard base-pairing at the 3rd anti-codon position. Lineage: Bacteria; Pseudomonadati; Acidobacteriota; Candidatus Polarisedimenticolia; Candidatus Polarisedimenticolales; Candidatus Polarisedimenticolaceae. RNAcentral also lists the same sequence under 1 other name. The record is from RNAcentral.
CGGGGCGUGGCGCAGCCCGGUAGCGCACCUGCUUUGGGAGCAGGGGGUCGGAGGUUCGAAUCCUCUCGCCCCG